UAAUACAUGCAAGUCGAACGCGUUGGCCCAACUGAUUGAACGUGCUUGCACGGACUUGACGUUGGUUUACCAGCGAGUGGCGGACGGGUGAGUAACACGUAGGUAACCUGCCCCAAAGCGGGGGAUAACAUUUGGAAACAGAUGCUAAUACCGCAUAACAAUUUGAAUCGCAUGAUUCAAAUUUAAAAGAUGGUUUCGGCUAUCACUUUGGGAUGGACCUGCGGCGCAUUAGCUUGUUGGUAGGGUAACGGCCUACCAAGGCUGUGAUGCGUAGCCGAGUUGAGAGACUGAUCGGCCACAAUGGAACUGAGACACGGUCCAUACUCCUACGGGAGGCAGCAGUAGGGAAUCUUCCACAAUGGGCGCAAGCCUGAUGGAGCAACACCGCGUGAGUGAAGAAGGGUUUCGGCUCGUAAAGCUCUGUUGUUAGAGAAGAACGUGCGUGAGAGCAACUGUUCACGCAGUGACGGUAUCUAACCAGAAAGUCACGGCUAACUACUUGCCAGCAGCCGCGGUAAUAC
RNAcentral lists this ribosomal RNA (521 nucleotides) under Limosilactobacillus mucosae. Its description in RNAcentral is "bacterial SSU rRNA". It matches the Rfam family "Bacterial small subunit ribosomal RNA", at positions 49 to 526 of the family's 1533-position model. The record is from RNAcentral. Lineage: Bacteria; Bacillati; Bacillota; Bacilli; Lactobacillales; Lactobacillaceae.